RNAcentral lists this ribosomal RNA (836 nucleotides) under uncultured Gammaproteobacteria bacterium. RNAcentral's name for it is "bacterial SSU rRNA". It matches the Rfam family "Bacterial small subunit ribosomal RNA", at positions 8 to 845 of the family's 1533-position model. The record is from RNAcentral. Lineage: Bacteria; Pseudomonadati; Pseudomonadota; Gammaproteobacteria.
AGAGUUUGAUCCUGGCUCAGAUUGAACGCUGGCGGCAUGCCUAACACAUGCAAGUCGAACGGGUUGUACUUCGGUACAGCUAGUGGCGGACGGGUGAGUAACACAUAGGAAUCUGCCCGAGAGUGGGGGAUAACCCAGGGAAACUUGGAUUAAUACCGCAUGAUCUCUACGGAGCAAAGCUGGGGACCUUCGGGCCUGGCGCUUUUGGAGGAGCCUAUGUCUGAUUAGCUUGUUGGUGAGGUAACGGCUCACCAAGGCGACGAUCAGUAACUGGUCUGAGAGGACGACCAGUCACACCGGAACUGAGACACGGUCCGGACUCCUACGGGAGGCAGCAGUGGGGAAUAUUGGACAAUGGGCGAAAGCCUGAUCCAGCAAUGCCGCGUGUGUGAAGAAGGCCUUCGGGUUGUAAAGCACUUUAGGAUGGAAAGAAAAAACUUCAGUUAAUAGCUGAAGUCUUGACGGUACCAUCAGAAUAAGCACCGGCUAACUCUGUGCCAGCAGCCGCGGUAAUACAGAGGGUGCAAGCGUUAAUCGGAUUUACUGGGCGUAAAGCGUGUGUAGGUGGUGGCGUAAGUCGAUUGUGAAAUCCCCGGGCUCAACCUGGGAACUGCUUUCGAUACUGCGUCACUAGAGUACGGUAGAGGGUGGUGGAAUUUCCGGUGUAGCGGUGAAAUGCGUAGAUAUCGGAAGGAACAUCAAUGGCGAAAGGCAACCACCUGGGCCUGUACUAACACUGAGACACGAAAGCGUGGGGAUCAAACAGGAUUAGAUACCCUGGUAGUCCACGCCGUAAACGAUGACAACUUGACGUUGGUUUGCUUAGCGAAUCAGUG